CUACGGAGGGUGCAAGCGUUACUCGGAAUCACUGGGCGUAAGGCGCGCGCAGGCGGCCAUUUAAGUUGGAUGUGAAAGCCUACGGCUCAACCGUAGAACUGCAUCCAAAACUAUUUGGCUAGAGUGUGGGAGAGGAAGAUGGAAUUAGUUGUGUAGGGGUAAAAUCCGUAGAGAUAACUAGGAAUACCAAAAGCGAAGGCAAUCUUCUGGAACACUACUGACGCUGAGGCGCGAAAGCGUGGGGAGCAAACGGGAUUAGAUACCCUAGUAGUCC
RNAcentral lists this ribosomal RNA (274 nucleotides) under uncultured bacterium. RNAcentral's name for it is "partial 16S ribosomal RNA". It matches the Rfam family "Bacterial small subunit ribosomal RNA", at positions 523 to 796 of the family's 1533-position model. The record is from RNAcentral.